GAUGAACGCUGGCGGCGUGCCUAAUACAUGCAAGUCGAGCGAACGGACGAGAAGCUUGCUUUUCUGAUGUUAGCGGCGGACGGGUGAGUCACACGUGGCUAACCUACCUAUAAGACUGGGAUAACUUCGGGAAACCGGAGCUAAUACCGGAUAAUAUUUUGAACCGCAUGGUUCAAAAGUGAAAGACGGUCUUGCUGUCACUUAUAGAUGGAUCCGCGCUGCAUUAGCUAGUUGGUAAGGUAACGGCUUACCAAGGCAACGAUGCAUAGCCGACCUGAGAGGGUGAUCGGCCACACGGGAACUGAGAAACGGUCCAGACUCCUACGGGAGGCAGCAGUAGGGAAUCUUCCGCAAUGGGCGAAAGCCUGACGGAGCAACGCCGCGUGAGUGAUGAAGGUCUUCGGAUCGUAAAACUCUGUUAUUAGGGAAGAACAUAUGUGUAAGUAACUGUGCACAUCUUGACGGUACCUAAUCAGAAAGCCACGGCUAACUACGUG
Molecule: ribosomal RNA, 497 nt
Filed under: uncultured bacterium
Lineage: Bacteria
Description: partial 16S ribosomal RNA
Rfam family: Bacterial small subunit ribosomal RNA
Source: RNAcentral